UCCUUGUAGCUCAGUUGGUAAAGAAUCUGCCUGCAGUGCAGGAGACCCAGGCUCGAUUCCUGGACCAGGAA
RNAcentral lists this transfer RNA (71 nucleotides) under Bos taurus (domestic cattle). It matches the Rfam family "tRNA". Rfam says of the family: Transfer RNA (tRNA) molecules are approximately 80 nucleotides in length. Lineage: Eukaryota; Metazoa; Chordata; Mammalia; Artiodactyla; Bovidae. RNAcentral also lists the same sequence under 3 other names. The record is from Rfam by way of RNAcentral.